Acanthosepion pharaonis is the source of this 114-nucleotide non-coding RNA. The record is from the annotation of a GenBank genome assembly. NCBI's taxonomy places the organism in Eukaryota, Metazoa, Mollusca, Cephalopoda, Sepiida, Sepiidae.
UUACGGUUAUAUCACGUUGAAACACCGAUUCUCGUUGGAUCAAUGAAGUUAAGCAACUUUGAGCCUGGUUAAAACCGCGAUGAAUGACCGUUAGGGAACACCAUGUGCUGUAAG